RNAcentral lists this ribosomal RNA (2601 nucleotides) under Clostridioides difficile. RNAcentral's name for it is "bacterial LSU rRNA". It matches the Rfam family "Bacterial large subunit ribosomal RNA", at positions 1 to 2623 of the family's 2925-position model. The record is from RNAcentral. Lineage: Bacteria; Bacillati; Bacillota; Clostridia; Peptostreptococcales; Peptostreptococcaceae.
UGGUCAAGUUAUUAAGGGUGCAGGGCGGAUGCCUUGGCACUAGGAGCCGAUGAAGGACGUGAUAAGCUGCGAUAAGCUUCGGGGAGUUGCACGUAAACUUUGAUCCGAAGAUUUCCGAAUGAGGAAACUCACUUAGAGUAAUGUCUAAGUAUCAUUAAGUGAAUACAUAGCUUAAUGAGGGGAACUCAGGGAACUGAAACAUCUAAGUACCUGAAGGAAGAGAAAGAAAUUCGAUUCCGUAAGUAGCGGCGAGCGAACGCGGAUUAGCCCAAACCAAUAAAGUUUUCUUUAUUGGGGUUGCGGACAUAUCAUAACGAAGAGGUAUCGUAAUUGAAGAGGUUUGGAAAGACCCACCACAGAAGGUAAUAGUCCUGUAUGUUAAACGAGAAGACUUCAGAUAUGAUCCAGAGUACCACGGGACACGUGAAACCCUGUGGGAAGCAGGAGGGACCACCCUCCAAGGCUAAAUACUACCUAGUGACCGAUAGCGUAUAGUACCGUGAGGGAAAGGUGAAAAGAACCCCGGGAGGGGAGUGAAAUAGAACCUGAAACCCUGCACUUACAAGCUGUGGAAGCACAUUUCUUGUGUGACCGCGUACUUUUUGUAGAACGGGCCAACGAGUUACGUUAAGUAGCAAGGUUAAGCACUUAAGGUGCGGAGCCGUAGCGAAAGCGAGUUUUAACUGAGCGUUCAGUUACUUGACGUAGACCCGAAACCGGGCGACCUACCCAUGAGCAGGAUGAAGCGAAAGUAAAAUUUCGUGGAGGUCCGAACCCACGAGCGUUGAAAAGCUCGGGGAUGACUUGUGGGUAGCGGUGAAAUUCCAAUCGAGCCCGGAGAUAGCUGGUUCUCCCCGAAAUAGCUUUAGGGCUAGCCUCAAGGUGAGAGAUACGGAGGUAGAGCACUGAAUGUCCUAGGGGGUAUUGCACCUACCGAAGACUAUCAAACUCCGAAUGCCGUCAUCUUAUACUUGGGAGUCAGACUGUGGGUGAUAAGAUUCAUAGUCGAAAGGGCAACAGCCCAGAUCGUCAGCUAAGGUCCCUAAAUGUAAGUUAAGUGGUAAAGGAUGUGGGAUUGCACAGACAACCAGGAUGUUGGCUUAGAAGCAGCCACUCAUUCAAAGAGUGCGUAAUAGCUCACUGGUCGAGUGAUCCUGCGCCGAAGAUUUCCGGGGCUAAAACUUACUACCGAAGCUACGGCAUCAGUAAUGAUGGGUAGGGGAGCUUCCCAUACGGGUUGAAGCAUGACCGUAAGGACAUGUGGACAGUAUGGGAGUGAGAAUGUUGGCAUGAGUAGCGAGAUGUGGGUGAGAAUCCCACAGGCCGUAAACCCAAGGUUUCCAGGGGAAGGUUCGUCCGCCCUGGGUUAGUCGGGACCUAAGCUGAGGCCGAAAGGCGUAGGUGAUGGACAACAGGUUGAUAUUCCUGUACUACCGAUAACCGUUUGAGAGAAGGGAUGACACAGUAGGAUAAGCUAAGCACACUGUUGGUUAUGUGUGCCCAAGCAUUGAGGCAGUCAAAGUAGGCAAAUCCGCUUUGAUAAUGCUGGGAUGUGAUGGGGAGCGAAAUUUAGUAGCGAAGUAGCUGAUUUCACACUGUCAAGAAAAGUCUCUAUCGAGGUUAAAGGUACCCGUACCGCAAACCGACACAGGUGGGUGAGGAGAGUAUCCUAAGGCCAGCGAGAGAACUGUUGUUAAGGAACUCGGCAAAAUGACCCCGUAACUUAGGGAUAAGGGGUGCCACCAUCAGGUGGCCGCAGAGAAUAGGCCCAAGCGACUGUUUACCAAAAACAUAGGUUUCUGCUAAGUCGCAAGACGAUGUAUAGGAGCUGACGCCUGCCCGGUGCUGGAAGGUUAAGGGGAUCUGUUAGAGCAAUCGAAGCAGUGAACUUAAGCCCCAGUAAACGGCGGCCGUAACUAUAACGGUCCUAAGGUAGCGAAAUUCCUUGUCGGGUAAGUUCCGACCCGCACGAAAGGCGUAACGAUUUGGGCACUGUCUCAACAACAGACUCGGUGAAAUUGUAAUUCCGGUGAAGAUGCCGGAUACCUGCGACAGGACGGAAAGACCCCAUGGAGCUUUACUGUAGCUUGACAUUGGGUCUUGGUACUACAUGUACAGGAUAGGUGGGAGGCUUUGAAACCAGGACGCCAGUUUUGGCGGAGCCAUCCUUGGGAUACCACCCUUGUAGUACUGGGACUCUAACCAUAGGCCAUGAAUCUGGUCUUGGGACACUGUCAGGUGGGCAGUUUGACUGGGGCGGUCGCCUCCCAAAAGGUAACGGAGGCGCUCAAAGGUUCUCUCAGUACGGUCGGAAAUCGUACGUAGAGUGUAAAGGCAAAAGAGAGCUUGAUUGCAAGACAUACAGGUCGAGCAAGGAUGAAAAUCGGACUUAGUGAUCCGGUGGUUCUGCGUGGAAGGGCCAUCGCUCAACGGAUAAAAGCUACCCUGGGGAUAACAGGCUUAUCUCCCCCAAGAGUCCACAUCGACGGGGAGGUUUGGCACCUCGAUGUCGGCUCAUCACAUCCUGGGGCUGUAGUAGGUCCCAAGGGUUGGGCUGUUCGCCCAUUAAAGUGGUACGCGAGCUGGGUUCAGAACGUCGUG